Molecule: unclassified non-coding RNA, 182 nt
Filed under: uncultured Ascomycota
Lineage: Eukaryota; Fungi; Ascomycota
Description: sequence contains ITS1
Source: RNAcentral
UUGAGUGUAACAACUCCCAAACCCUUUGUGAACAUACCACUGUUGCUUCGGCGGCUCGUCCCGGUCCCGCCCCCCUCCUGGGGGUGCCGUGGCCGGGCUCAUGGCGUCCGCCGAAGGUACCUAAACUCUUGUCUCCUAUGGUGUAUCUUCUGAGUGCUAUAAGCAAAAAACAAAAUGAAAUA